AGCCAGACUCCUACGGGAGGCAGCAGUGAGGAAUAUUGGUCAAUGGGCGGAAGCCUGAACCAGCCAAGUCGCGUGAGGGAAUAAGGCCCUACGGGUCGUAAACCUCUUUUGCCGGGGAGCAAGGGCGGGGACGUGUCCCGGCCCGGAGAGUACCCGGAGAAAAAGCAUCGGCUAACUCCGUGCCAGCAGCCGCGGUAAUACGGAGGAUGCGAGCGUUAUCCGGAUUUAUUGGGUUUAAAGGGUGCGCAGGCGGUCGUUUAAGUCAGCGGUCAAAGCCGGGGGCUCACCCCCGGCGAGCCGUUGAAACUGGCUGUCUUGAGAUGUCGAGAGGUAUGCGGAAUGCGCAGUGUAGCGGUGAAAUGCUUAGAUAUUGCGCAGAACUCCGAUUGCGAAGGCAGCAUACCGGCGGCGAUCUGACGCUGAGGCACGAAAGCGUGGGUAUCGAACAGGAUUAGAUACCCCAGUAC
Molecule: ribosomal RNA, 467 nt
Filed under: uncultured bacterium
Lineage: Bacteria
Description: bacterial SSU rRNA
Rfam family: Bacterial small subunit ribosomal RNA
Source: RNAcentral